Molecule: ribosomal RNA, 233 nt
Filed under: uncultured bacterium
Lineage: Bacteria
Description: partial 16S ribosomal RNA
Rfam family: Bacterial small subunit ribosomal RNA
Source: RNAcentral
UGAGCAAUCUGCCCUUCUCAUCGGAAUAAUCGUUGGAAACGACGUCUAAUGCCGAAUACGACCUCCUUUCGCAUGAUCGGAGGUGGAAAGCUCCGGCGGAGAAGGAUGAGCUCGCGGCCUAUCAGCUAGUUGGUGUGGGUAAUGGCCCACCAAGGCGACGACGGGUAGCCGGCCUGAGAGGGUGACCGGCCACACUGGGACUGGGACACGGCCCAGACCUCCGUACGGGGAGG